RNAcentral lists this unclassified non-coding RNA (253 nucleotides) under uncultured Bacteroidota bacterium. Its description in RNAcentral is "uncultured Bacteroidetes bacterium contains 16S-23S intergenic spacer region". It matches the Rfam family "Bacterial small subunit ribosomal RNA", at positions 524 to 776 of the family's 1533-position model. The record is from RNAcentral. Lineage: Bacteria; Pseudomonadati; Bacteroidota.
UACGGAGGGUCCAAGCGUUGUCCGGAAUCACUGGGUGUAAAGGGUGCGCAGGCGGGCGUGUAAGUCAGGGGUGAAAGCCACCGGCCUAACCGGUGAAUUGCCCUUGAUACUGCACGUCUUGAGUCCCGGAGAGGCUAUCGGAAUUCGUGGUGUAGCGGUGAAAUGCGUAAAUAUCACGAGGAACACCUGAUGCGUAGGCGGAUAGCUGGACGGGUACUGACGCUCAGGCACGAAAGCGUGGGGAGCGAACAGG